Molecule: ribosomal RNA, 476 nt
Filed under: uncultured bacterium
Lineage: Bacteria
Description: bacterial SSU rRNA
Rfam family: Bacterial small subunit ribosomal RNA
Source: RNAcentral
UGGAUUAGGCAUGCAAGUCGAGGGAGAACCCGCAAGGGGGACACCGGCGAACGGGGUAGGACAAUCUCGGUAACGUACCCUUCGGACGGGGAUAGCCACGGGAAACUGUGGGUAAUACCCGAUGAUCUGGCGAGCGUUUAGGGCUCGUCAGCAAAGGUGAGAUUCCACCGGAGGAGCGGCUGAGACGCUAUUAGCUUGUUGGUGAGGUAACGGCUCACCAAGGCGACGAUGGCUAGGGGGUGUGAGAGCACGGCCCCCACCACUGGCACUGAGACACUGGCCAGACACCUACGGGUGGCUGCAGUCGAGAACCUUCGGCAAUGGGCGCAAGCCUGACCGAGCGACGCCGCGUGCGGGAUGAAGGUCUUCGGAUUGUAAACCGCUGUCGGAGGGGAUGAAGUGUAUGGGAGCUAUCUCCUGUAUUUGACAGAGCCUCGGAGGAAGCACGGGCUAAGUUCGUGCCAGCAGCCGCGGUA